Molecule: long non-coding RNA, 958 nt
Organism: Gasterosteus aculeatus aculeatus (three-spined stickleback)
Lineage: Eukaryota; Metazoa; Chordata; Actinopteri; Perciformes; Gasterosteidae
Source: Ensembl
UGUCGAUCUAAAUUUUGCCACAGUGCCAAAUGUAAGUGUGUCUCUGAGUACAUCUGUGUGUGUGUGUCAUGAGUAGAUCUAGGUUUGCUCCGGAGGGGUUGACGCGGCGUCCUGAUGGAAUCCUGAUGGCGUCCCGAUGACGUGGCGUCCUGAUGGCGUCCCGAUGACGUGGCGUCCUGAUGGCGUCCCGAAGACGUGGCGUCCUGAUGGCGUCCUGUUGGUCUGCAGACAAGGAGAAGAGACGUGAGGAGGAUCAUCAGGGUGUGCCUGUGUGUACAUCUAAUUGUUAGUGGGUCUGUGUGUAGAUCUAAUUGUUAGUGUGUCCAUCUAAUUGUUAGUGUGUCUGUGUGUAGAUCUAAUUGUUAGUGUGUCUGUGUACAUCUAAUUGUUAGUGUGUCUGUGUGUACCUCUAAUUGUUAGUGUGUCUGUGUGUACAUCUAAUUUAUAGUGUGUCUGUGUGUACAUCUAAUUGUAAGUGUGUCUGUGUACAUCUAAUUGUUAGUUUGUCUGUGUGUACAUCUAAAUAUUAGUGUGUGUCUUUGUUUAGAACCAAAUGAUAGUGUGUCUGUGUGUAGAUCUAGAUAUUAAUGUGUCUGUGUGUAGAUCUAAUUGUUAAUGUGUCUGUGUGUACAUCUAAAUGUUAGUGUGUCUGUGUGUACAUCUAAAUAUUAGUGUGUGUAUUUGUUUAGAACCAAAUGAUAGUGUGUCUGUGUGUAGAUCUAAUUGUUAAUGUGUCUGUGUGUAGAUCUAAUUGUUAGUGUGUCCGUGUGUACAUCUAAUUGUUAGUGUGUCUGUGUGGAUCUAAUUGUUAGUGUGUCUGUGUGUAGAUCUAAAUAUGAAUGUGUCUUUGUGUACAUCUAAAUGUUAGUGUGUGUCUUUGUUUAGAACCAAAUGUUAGUGUGUGUGUGAGUCGCGACAUCCCUCGCAGUGUGUGGGUGUGUGUGUGUGUCAUGAGUAG